AAAGAAGAAUCAAGAAUUUGAAGAAAUAUUUGGGAAAAACAGCAUCAGAAUGGUACCAGACAAAUCUGCUGAAAGAUGAAGAAUACAACUGGGAAAACUGGAAGGCGGCAUUUCUAAAAGCUUUUAGCAAUAAAGGUUGGUCUGCAGUGCGAUACGCCUAUAACUUUAAAUACAUUUCAGGUUCGUUCACCGAAUAUGCCAUAAAAAAAGAACGGUUAAUAUUGGAAGUAAGGAGGAAGACUUCCGAAGAGACAAGGAUAAAUCUAAUUGUUAUUGGAUUACCCAUACACAUUCAAGAUAAAAUCGAUAAAGAAGCGGUACAAUCAACAAAUAAUUUAAUCGGACUUUUGGGGCAAUAUGAAGAUCAGACGAAAAAAAGAAAAACGCAAGAGAGCCGAUUUCACCCAAUACAAGUAUGCAGAAACAGAAACGGAAAUGCUCAGAGGAACCAAAA
RNAcentral lists this unclassified non-coding RNA (454 nucleotides) under Bombus terrestris (buff-tailed bumblebee). RNAcentral describes it as "misc RNA ENSBTSG00005020688.1". The record is from RNAcentral. Lineage: Eukaryota; Metazoa; Arthropoda; Insecta; Hymenoptera; Apidae.